CAUGCUUUACACAUGCAUGUAGAGCGACAGCGCGGGCGCAACCCUGGCGGAGAGCGGCGAACGGGAGAGUAAUACAUCGGAACGUCUCCUGUCGUGGGGAGAUACCCAGUAAAAAGACUGUAUAAUCCCGCAUGAUAUCAAAAGAUAAAAGCGGGGGACCACAAGGCCUCGCGCGAUUAGAGCGGCAGAUGUCGGAUUAGCUAGUUGGCGGUGUAAAAGCCCCACAAGGCGAAGAUCCGUAGCUGGUUUGAGAGAACGACCAGCCACACUGGGAGUGAGACACGGCCCAGACUCAUACGGGAGGCAGCAGUGGAGAAUUUUGGACAAUGGGCGCAAGCCUGAUCCACCCAUGCCGCGUGUGUGAAGAAGGCCUUCGGGUUGUAAAGCACUUUCGGCCGGAACGAAAUCGCGCGGGUGAACAUCCCGCGUGGAUGACGGUACCGGAAGAAGAAGCACCGGCUAACUACGUGCCAGCAGCCGCGGUAAUACGUAGGGUGCGAGCGUUAAUCGGAAUUACUGGGCGUAAAGGGUGCGCAGGCGGCUCCACAUGUCAGGCGUGAAAUCCCCGGUCUUAACCUGGGAAUGGCGCUUGAAACUACGGGGUUGGAUUAUGGCAGAGGGAGGUGGAAUUCCACGUGUAGCGGUGAAAUGCGUAGAGAUGUGGAGGAACACCGAUGGCGAAGGCAGCCUCCUGGGCCAAUACUGACGCUCAUGCAGAAAAGCGUGGGGAGCAACCAGGAUUAGAUACCUUGGUAUUCCACCCCUUAAACGAUGAUAAUUAGUUGUUGGAGGAGUUAAAUCCUUUAGUAACGCAGCUAACGCGAGAAGUCAUCCGCCUGGGGAGUACGGUCGCAAGAUUAAAACUCAAAGGAAUUGACGG
This 880-nucleotide ribosomal RNA is filed under the name uncultured bacterium. RNAcentral describes it as "bacterial SSU rRNA". It matches the Rfam family "Bacterial small subunit ribosomal RNA", at positions 43 to 916 of the family's 1533-position model. The record is from RNAcentral.